This 28-nucleotide small RNA is filed under the name Bombyx mori (domestic silkworm). RNAcentral's name for it is "ovarian small RNA-8739". The record is from RNAcentral. Lineage: Eukaryota; Metazoa; Arthropoda; Insecta; Lepidoptera; Bombycidae.
UGGAUUGCGUGUGAGACGGCCGAUUCGC